GAUGAACGCUGGCGGCGUGCCUAAUACAUGCAAGUCGAGCGAACAGACGAGGAGCUUGCUUCUCUGACGUUAGCGGCGGACGGGUGGGUAACACGUGGAUAACCUACCUAUAAGACUGGGAUAACUUCGGGAAACCGGAGCUAAUACCGGAUAAUAUAUUGAACCGCAUGGUUCAAUAGUGAAAGACGGUUUUGCUGUCACUUAUAGAUGGAUCCGCGCCGCAUUAGCUAGUUGGUAAGGUAACGGCUUACCAAGGCAACGAUGCGUAGCCGACCUGAGAGGGUGAUCGGCCACACUGGAACUGAGACACGGUCCAGACUCCUACGGGAGGCAGCAGUAGGGAAUCUUCCGCAAUGGGCGAAAGCCUGACGGAGCAACGCCGCGUGAGUGAUGAAGGUCUUCGGAUCGUAAAACUCUGUUAUUAGGGAAGAACAAAUGUGUAAGUAACUAUGCACGUCUUGACGGUACCUAAUCAGAAAGCCACGGCUAACUACGUG
This 497-nucleotide ribosomal RNA is filed under the name uncultured bacterium. RNAcentral's name for it is "partial 16S ribosomal RNA". It matches the Rfam family "Bacterial small subunit ribosomal RNA", at positions 28 to 507 of the family's 1533-position model. The record is from RNAcentral.